RNAcentral lists this ribosomal RNA (406 nucleotides) under uncultured bacterium. Its description in RNAcentral is "partial 16S ribosomal RNA". It matches the Rfam family "Bacterial small subunit ribosomal RNA", at positions 30 to 526 of the family's 1533-position model. The record is from RNAcentral.
AUUGAACGCUGGCGGCAGGCCUAACACAUGCAAGUCGAACGAGUGGCGGACGGGUGAGUAAUGUCUGGGAAACUGCCUGAUGGAGGGGGAUAACUACUGGAAACGGUAGCUAAUACCGCAUACCAUCGGAUGUGCCCAGAUGGGAUUAGCUAGUAGGUGGGGUAAAGUCUCACCUAGGCGACGAGCCCUAGCUGGUCUGAGAGGAUGACCAGCCAACCGGGAACUGAGACACGGUCCAGACUCCUACGGGAGGCAGCAGUGGGGAAUAUUGCACAAUGGGCGCAAGCCGGAUGCAGCCAUGCCGCGUGUAUGAAGAAGGCCUUCGGGUUGUAAAGUACUUUCAGCGGGGAGGCGUUACCCGCAGAAGAAGCACCGGCUAACUCCGUGCCAGCAGCCGCGGUAAUAC